GACGAACGCUGGCGGCGUGCUUAAUACAUGCAAGUCAACUGAACUGAGAGUAGCAAUAUUUUCAGGGAGGUGGCGCACGGGUGAGUAACACGUAGGCAAUCUACCUUUGGGACUGACAUAAUACCGGGAAAUCGGUACUAAUAUCAGAUAAUGCAGCGGCUCCGCAUGGAGACAGUUGUUAAAGCUUCGGCGCCUGAAGAUGAGCCUGCGGCCCAUUAGAUAGUUGGUAAGGUAACGGCUUACCAAGUCAACGAUGGGUAGCUGGUCUGAGAGGAUGAUCAGCCACACUGGAACUGAGACACGGUCCAGACUCCUACGGGAGGCAG
This 326-nucleotide ribosomal RNA is filed under the name uncultured Chlorobiota bacterium. Its description in RNAcentral is "bacterial SSU rRNA". It matches the Rfam family "Bacterial small subunit ribosomal RNA", at positions 28 to 351 of the family's 1533-position model. The record is from RNAcentral. Lineage: Bacteria; Pseudomonadati; Chlorobiota.